Molecule: ribosomal RNA, 315 nt
Filed under: Bacillus paranthracis
Lineage: Bacteria; Bacillati; Bacillota; Bacilli; Caryophanales; Bacillaceae
Description: bacterial SSU rRNA
Rfam family: Bacterial small subunit ribosomal RNA
Source: RNAcentral
UUUAUUGGAGAGUUUGAUCCUGGCUCAGGAUGAACGCUGGCGGCGUGCCUAAUACAUGCAAGUCGAGCGAAUGGAUUAAGAGCUUGCUCUUAUGAAGUUAGCGGCGGACGGGUGAGUAACACGUGGGUAACCUGCCCAUAAGACUGGGAUAACUCCGGGAAACCGGGGCUAAUACCGGAUAACAUUUUGAACCGCAUGGUUCGAAAUUGAAAGGCGGCUUCGGCUGUCACUUAUGGAUGGGCCCGCGUCGCAUUAGCUAGUUGGUGAGGUAACGGCUCACCAAGGCAACGAUGCGUAGCCGACCUGAGAGGGUGA